GACGAACGCUGGCGGCGUGGAUUAGGCAUGCAAGUCGAACGGUAUGGACCUUUCGGGGUUCAGAGAGUGGCGAACGGGUGAGUAACACGUAGGUAAUCUACCCUCAAGACGGGGACAACCCAGGGAAACUUGGGCUAAUACCGGAUGUGUGUAGUGGCUAUUUUUCUGAUUAUCAUUAUUUACGUAAGUGAGUAAUAAUAAGAAGGGAAAGUGGUUAUUACAUAAAAGGUGGCGUAAGCUGCCGCUUGGGGAUGAGCCUGCGUCCUAUUAGUUAGUUGGUGAGGUAACGGCUUACCAAGGCGAUGAUAGGUAGGCGGCCUUAACGGGUGGUCGCCCACACUGGGGAUUGAGAUACGGCCCAGACUCCUACGGGAGGCAGCAGUCGAGAAUAGUCUACAAUGGACGGAAGUCUGAUAGUGCGACGCCGCGUGAACGAAGAAUCCUUCGGGUGUAAAGUUCUUUUAUACGUGAGCAGUGUCCUUUAUAUUAAUAGUAUAAGGGGAGAGAUAUUAGCGUAUGAAUAAGCAACGGCUAA
RNAcentral lists this ribosomal RNA (535 nucleotides) under uncultured bacterium. RNAcentral's name for it is "bacterial SSU rRNA". It matches the Rfam family "Bacterial small subunit ribosomal RNA", at positions 28 to 500 of the family's 1533-position model. The record is from RNAcentral.